CUGUGAGAGCUCAGCGCCAAAGCUGGAGGGUGCCGGGGUGGCACCUUGUGUCCCCGUGAGCCCAUCCUGCAAUUCAUCCUCGCCUCCCUGGAACCUCCUGGAAGAGACAAGGAGCAGUCGGCUGAAGAGGUCUCUUCUUUUAAAUGUUUGCUCACUGUGAAGAGAUUUUGCAUGCAAUUGGAGGGUUCAACCUCUCCACCUCUUCCAAGUGUGCUCUGUCUGUGUAAUAAUUUAGGUGUCCUGUUUCACCUCAGAAGCUGAACAGAAGCUGAUUUUUUGGUAGGCAGUCUCUCCUUGGCUCUAAGCUGUAUCUCCUGAGGUUUAAAGAAGAAGAGCAGAAGUUCAGCUUGUGACAGAAUUGGAAACAAUGUGAUACCAUGAUGGAAAUCCAGCUCUCUCCUCCUGGUGCCAAAUGAUGGUUUGCUACAGACCCGUGGGAGAAGAGAUACCCUCAGAGCUUUCCCAGGAAGUUAAGCUGGCGCAGACACAGAAUAAAAGAGGGAUGAGAGAGCCUA
Pipra filicauda (Wire-tailed manakin) is the source of this 515-nucleotide long non-coding RNA. RefSeq lists it as uncharacterized. The record is from RefSeq and is a predicted model, not a curated record. Lineage: Eukaryota; Metazoa; Chordata; Aves; Passeriformes; Pipridae. The transcript is spliced from 3 exons.